This 75-nucleotide transfer RNA is filed under the name Phycisphaerae bacterium. Its description in RNAcentral is "tRNA-Met". It matches the Rfam family "tRNA". Rfam says of the family: Transfer RNA (tRNA) molecules are approximately 80 nucleotides in length. Lineage: Bacteria; Pseudomonadati; Planctomycetota; Phycisphaerae. The record is from RNAcentral.
AGCGGGAUAGAGCAGCCUGGUCAGCUCGUUGGGCUCAUAACCCAAAGGUCGCUGGUUCGAAUCCAGCUCCCGCUA